RNAcentral lists this long non-coding RNA (824 nucleotides) under Mytilus galloprovincialis (Mediterranean mussel). Lineage: Eukaryota; Metazoa; Mollusca; Bivalvia; Mytilida; Mytilidae. The record is from RNAcentral.
CUAUAUUGUUGUAUGGUCGAUUAAAGCUUGUGUAAUAUGAUUUUUUUAAAAAUAAAUAUGAAUUCAUAACUACAUAAAAGUCAUGGCCCGUACAAAUGUUUCUUACAAAAAAACACAAUUAUCAUCAUCGGGGUCAACCUUCAAGGUCACAUGAAGGUCACAAUUUUAAGAAGGCACACUACCUCAUGAUGAUACAUCCACAUGCCAAAGAUGUAAGACCUAGGUCAAGGGCGAAGAAGUUAUGGCCUACAUGGUUGUGUUUUUCAUGAAAAAAAUAAUAUAAAGUUGACCUUGAGGUCACAUUUGAAGGUCACAAUAAGGUCAUCAUGAUGCAAGACACUUAACCCCGUGAUGAUACAUCCACAUGCCAAAUAUUUAAAGCCUAGUUCAGAAGACGAAAAACAUAUGGCCAUUAUGUACUUUUUGAAUAGAUUUUGCCCUUAUUUAAUGAACCAAUUUGAGGGUGGGGGAUACUUUAAACUUAAAUACCAAAAAAUCUAACGGUUAAAUUUUUAAAAAAUUUUGCAAGAACAACCGACUAGUAUAGCACUCCAAAUGCUUAGUAUUUUGAAAAAAUUAAACGACACAUUUUUUUUCCAAAAAAAAAAAUUCUUCUUCAAAUACUAGAAGCACAGCAUUCACUUUUCGGGGCUGAUUCUGACACCCCCUAUUAAAUUUCGGGCAAAAUUUUAAAUCUAGAAUAAAAAACUUACAAGAAAAGGGUAUCAGUGAACUAAUAUUUACCUCAGCUAUCAUUAUUAGCUAUGCUAUUGUCAAUUUAGGAUUAAGUUUUAAAAAUUUUAACAUAUUUAACCCCAUACCCA